UCCCCUUUUAUCCCUCAG
RNAcentral lists this microRNA (18 nucleotides) under Mus musculus (house mouse). RNAcentral describes it as "mmu-miR-6925-3p". Lineage: Eukaryota; Metazoa; Chordata; Mammalia; Rodentia; Muridae. The record is from miRBase by way of RNAcentral.